CCCUGUCUAACCUGGAACUGUACCAGCUGACCAAUGGUGUGAAAGAUCCAGAGGCCAUGCCAAGCAUUGCAAACAGCCCUCUUGGAACAAGGCUGUGGAGGGCAGAUCAGAUGCCGUUGAUUCAUCAUCGUGAGUUGCCUACCAUCAGUAGUAAGUCAGGAUCCAUGGCUGAAGUUCCGAAGCUCCAUGGUCUUGCUCCAAAAGCUGCGUACCUCCAGCCCAGCCCACAAAAGGCCUUCCCACCCCAGGGUGCACAUUCUGUCCAGCAGCUGGAAGAGCCAAAAGCCUAUCCACAGCCACUCCUAGAGCCCAGUAGUGGCACCCCAUUUCAGGUGUUCAUUGCCAGAUACAGGCAAGAGUUUGAACCACCACUUCAUUUAAUGACCAUUCAGAGUGUUGUGCACUUUCAGGCACAGUAGUUUAUUCUAUGAUUUUGGUUUUCUACAGCUACAACCCAUAUGAUGGUCCUAAUGACAGACCAGACUUGGAGCUGCCACUAACUGCAGGGGAAUAUGUAUACAUCUAUGGUGACAUGGAUAAGGAUGGCUUUUAUAAAGGUGCUUUUAGGAUGCUGUAUUU
Molecule: long non-coding RNA, 579 nt
Filed under: Scleropages formosus (Asian bonytongue)
Lineage: Eukaryota; Metazoa; Chordata; Actinopteri; Osteoglossiformes; Osteoglossidae
Description: lncRNA (ENSSFOG00015026773.1)
Source: RNAcentral